Molecule: unclassified non-coding RNA, 159 nt
Filed under: soil metagenome
Description: partial internal transcribed spacer 1
Source: RNAcentral
CAGAGUGUAAAAACUCCCAAAACCCAUGUGAACAUACCUUUUUGUUGCUUCGGCGGGAUCGCCCCGGGCGCCUUGUGUGCCCCGGAGUCAGGCGCCCGCCGGGGGACCCAAACUCUUGUUUUUAACGAGUAUCUUCUGAGUACGUUUUUAAAUAAAUAA